GGCUUACGGUAGAUACCUAGGCACUAAAGAUGAGGAAGUGCAUCGUAGUAAGGGACAAAAAGGGCUCGGGAAGUUAAAAACAAGCAUAGAUCCGAAGAUUCACGAAUAAGUAAACCUCUCAAACUACUGUUGCAUCCAUGGGCAGGCAAACAUCUUAGUAACCGAAGGAAAAGAAGGCAAAAGCGAUUCUCGUAGUAGCGGCGAGCAAAAUGGGAGUAGCCUAAACCAUGUAAUAUAAGCAUCAUGCUGCUAGGCAAAGCGGUGGAGUGUUGCACCCUAGAUAGUGAGAGUCCAAUAAUCGAAAGCAUCACUAGCUUACGCUAUGACCUAAGUAGUAUGAGGCAUGUGGAAUCCGGUGUGAGUUAGCAAGGACCAUUUUGCCAAGCUAAAUACUCUUAGGUGAUUGAUAACGAAGUAAUACUGUGAGGCAAGAGCGAAAGAAUCCUCAUAAAGGAAUGAAACAUAACAUGAAACCAUAAGCU
RNAcentral lists this non-coding RNA (482 nucleotides) under Ricinus communis (castor bean). RNAcentral describes it as "Bacterial large subunit ribosomal RNA". It matches the Rfam family "Bacterial large subunit ribosomal RNA", at positions 16 to 564 of the family's 2925-position model. Lineage: Eukaryota; Viridiplantae; Streptophyta; Magnoliopsida; Malpighiales; Euphorbiaceae. The record is from Rfam by way of RNAcentral.